AGCUCCAAUAGCGUAUAUUAAAGUUGUUGUGGUUAAAAAGCUCGUAGUUGGAUCUCAACAGCCCUGGGUCGGUCUAGUUUGUCUAGUACUGACCUCUGAGUUGUGGUUUUGCCGGAGGUCGAGGGGUGCUCUUAAUCGAGUGUCCCCCGGUGCCGGCAGGUUUACUUUGAAAAAAUUAGAGUGUUCAAAGCAGGCUGUUAUGCCUGAAUAUUCGUGCAUGGAAUAAUAGAAUAGGAUGUCGAUCUUAUUUUGUUGGUUUUCGAGACUCGACAUAAUGAUUAAUAGGGACAGUCGGGGGCAUUUGUAUUGAGACGCUAGAGGUGAAAUUCUUGGACCGUCUCAAGACAAACUACUGCGAAAGCAUUUGCCAAGAAUGUUUUCA
Molecule: ribosomal RNA, 382 nt
Filed under: uncultured eukaryote
Lineage: Eukaryota
Description: SSU rRNA
Rfam family: Eukaryotic small subunit ribosomal RNA
Source: RNAcentral